GCUUUGCUACCUUAGGGUUGCGGAGGGUAGGAAGCGCAAGAAGGCCUGGGGACGGAGCUGGGGGACCCCGAGAAUGUCCCGAACGCAGCACCUCGUCUAAAGCGGCGGGCACCGAAGCGGUUCUGAGGAAAAAUCAAUCUCAAAAUACUAGUAUAAGAAGAAGCUUGUUCCUCCAUCCUCCAUGAAAAUAAAUGUGUUUAAUAAACACCAACAAGAUAGAGAAUAGAUAGAGAACUGGUCAAGUCCAAGAUCCUUGGGAUGGAGAAAUUGGAAAAUGCAGGUACCAAAAAAAAGCCAUCAGAGUUUAAAAUGUCAAAGGGGACUGGGAUAAGAAAGUAAUUCAAGAAAUUACUGUUAUAUAUGAUGAGAGACUGAAGAUACAGACAAUGACUGGAUUAUACUUGAUGUGAUCAUAAAAUAUGCUUGUAUAUAUUUGACAACAGGACUCAGCCCAGGAAGCCAAACCACCACCUCUUCAGCGAUUAGCCUAGAAGAACUGGAUUUGCUCUGUCAUUGCCAGCUUCCCUAAUUUGUGCCCUUCUAACUCAGGACCAACCAGAGAAAGCCAAAUAUAUUCUCAAAUCAAUCAUAUAAAAUGCCCUGCUUCUACUUAUCUCACCACUAGCAUUUCCAUGUCAAUAGUCUUUAAAUAUGCCUGCCUGCCUGCCUGUUUCUCUGUUUCUCUCUCUCUCAUCACUCUGUAGUCCAGGCUCGUUUGAGACCUCCUAUGUAUCAUCUCAGGUGGCCUGGAAAUUCAAAUUCCCACCUCACUUCCCAAGCACUGGUAUUGUAGAUGUGUGACAUCAUGCCUGGCUUUUUUUUUUUUAAACUCUAAAGUCUCCCCUCUCCUCUGUCUUUGAGUUUCUGCAAAUACAAGUGAUUAUGACUCUCCUUUCCUGUCCCAAGUUCUACAAAAGUAGCCUCUAUUUGUUUCCAUUCAGGUAGUCAUCACUCAUUUCCAUAAUGGCAAGAAAAAGUUCCUAAAAGGAGCAAACCUGACAGUGAUAAUAGAAUAACUGCUUUGUCAGCUGUCUCAGAAACCCCAUUGAUCAAGUCGUUUGUUGAGCUGAUAUGGAUUAUGCCAGCACUAACAUAGAUUGUAUAUAUCUUGGGCAGACAUGUGUAAGAAGGAAAUUACAUGGCUGAAGCCUUAGGAGCUGAAAGUUCAAAUCUU
This is a long non-coding RNA of Fukomys damarensis (Damara mole-rat), 1174 nucleotides long. RefSeq lists it as uncharacterized. NCBI's taxonomy places the organism in Eukaryota, Metazoa, Chordata, Mammalia, Rodentia, Bathyergidae. The transcript is spliced from 4 exons. The record is from RefSeq and is a predicted model, not a curated record.